AGCGUAACUCAAUUGGUAGAGUGUCAGCCUUCCAAGCUGAAUGUUGCCGGUUCGAUCCCGGUCGC
RNAcentral lists this transfer RNA (65 nucleotides) under Prymnesium neolepis. It matches the Rfam family "tRNA", at positions 5 to 66 of the family's 71-position model. Rfam says of the family: Transfer RNA (tRNA) molecules are approximately 80 nucleotides in length. Their secondary structure includes four short double-helical elements and three loops (D, anti-codon, and T loops). The record is from RNAcentral. Lineage: Eukaryota; Haptophyta; Prymnesiales; Prymnesiaceae.